GCGCACACUGGGACACUAUGAUGAGGCUAGGUGAGUGCACCCUGGGGCACUAUGAUGAGGCCGGGUGAGUGCACACUGCGACACUAUGGUGAGGCUAGGUGAGUGCACACUGCGGCACUAUGAUGAGGCCGGGUGAGCGUACACUGGGGCACUAUGAUGAGGCUAGCUGAGUGCACACUGGGGCGGUAUGAUGAGGCUCGGUGAGUGCACACUGGGACACUAUGAUGAGGCUAGGUGAGUGCACGCUGGGGCACUAUGAGGCUCGGUGAGUGCACACUGUGACACUAUGAUGAGGCUAGGUGAGUGGAUACUGCGGUACUAUGAUGAGGGCAGGUGAGUGCACACUGGGACACUAUGAUGAGGCUAGGUGACUGCACACUGGGGAGGCUAGGUUAGCGCAUACUGGGACACUAUGAUGAGGCCAGGUGAGUGCACACUGGGGCACUAUGAUGAGGCUAGGUGAGUGCACACUGGGGCACUAUGAUGAGGCUAGGUGAGUGCACACUGGGGCACUAUGAUGAGGCUAGGUGAGUGCACACUGGGACACUAUGAUGAGGCCGGGUGAGUGCACACUGGGACCCUAUGAUGAGGCCGGGUGAGUGCACACUGGGACCCUAUGAUGAGGCCGGGUGAGUGCACACUGGGACACUAUGAUGAGGCUAGCUGAGUGCACACUGGGGCACUAUGAUGAGGCUAGGUGAGCGCACACUGGGACACUAUGAUGAGGCCGGGUGAGCGAACACUGGGACACUAUGAUGAGGCUAGGUGAGGGCACACUGGGGCACUAUGAUGAGG
Molecule: long non-coding RNA, 795 nt
Filed under: Homo sapiens (human)
Lineage: Eukaryota; Metazoa; Chordata; Mammalia; Primates; Hominidae
Description: non-protein coding lnc-SERAC1-12:1
Source: RNAcentral